GAUGAACGCUAGCGGGAGGCCUAACACAUGCAAGCCGAGCGGUAUUUGCUCUUCGGAACAGAGAGAGCGGCGCACGGGUGCGGAACACGUGUGCAACCUGCCUUUAUCUGGGGGAUAGCCUUUCGAAAGGAAGAUUAAUACCCCAUAAUAUAUUGAGUGGCAUCAUUUGAUAUUGAAAACUCCGGUGGAUAGAGAUGGGCACGCGCAAGAUUAGAUAGUUGGUGAGGUAACGGCUCACCAAGUCAAUGAUCUUUAGGGGGCCUGAGAGGGUGAUCCCCCACACUGGUACUGAGACACGGACCAGACUCCUACGGGAGGCAGCAGUGAGGAAUAUUGGACAAUGGGUUAGCGCCUGAUCCAGCCAUCCCGCGUGAAGGACGACGGCCCUAUGGGUUGUAAACUUCUUUUGUAUAGGGAUAAACCUACUCUCGUGAGAGUAGCUGAAGGUACUAUACGAAUAAGCACCGGCUAACUCCGUG
Molecule: ribosomal RNA, 479 nt
Filed under: uncultured bacterium
Lineage: Bacteria
Description: partial 16S ribosomal RNA
Rfam family: Bacterial small subunit ribosomal RNA
Source: RNAcentral